CAAAACAGUAUCAAGCAAUUCUAUACUAUUAUAGAACAUUUUAUGUUAAAACUAGUAACAAGAAUAACAACUUCUCUUAAAUGCAAACGUAAAUCAGACAGGACCAACCACUGACAAUUAACACAUGAACCCCUAGUAACAACAAAUCAAGAAAACCCUACUAAGCCCCAUGUUAACCUAACACAAGAGCAUUUCAAGAAAGAUUAAAAGAAAAAGAAGGAACUCGGCAAAUUUUAACCCCGCCUGUUUACCAAAAACAUCGCCUCUUGCAUAAACAUAAGAGGUCCAGCCUGCCCAGUGACUUUGUUCAACGGCCGCGGUAUCCUAACCGUGCGAAGGUAGCGUAAUCACUUGUUCUUUAAAUGAGGACUAGUAUGAAUGGCACCACGAAGGUUACACUGUCUCCUUUAUCUAAUCAGUGAAACUAAUCUUCCCGUGAAGAAGCGGGAAUAAAAUAUAAGACGAGAAGACCCUAUGGAGCUUUAAACACACUAAUAAUUGCCUCACCCACACCACUCCCAGAAAACAACCAAAUCCAGGCAUUAUAAUUACAAGUUUAGGUUGGGGUGACCACGGAGCAUAACAAACCUCCGUAAUGGCGGGAGUUUUCCCCUUAACCAAGGGCCACAGCCCAAGAAAUCAAUAAAUUGACAUAUAUUGACCCAAUACAUUUGACCAAUGAACCAAGUUACCCUAGGGAUAACAGCGCAAUCCACUUCAAGAGCCCCUAUCGACAAGUGGGUUUACGACCUCGAUGUUGGAUCAGGGUGUCCCAGUGGUGCAGCCGCUACUGACGGUUCGUUUGUUCAACGAUU
This 815-nucleotide ribosomal RNA is filed under the name Leptodactylus rhodonotus (Peru white-lipped frog). RNAcentral's name for it is "partial 16S ribosomal RNA". It matches the Rfam family "Bacterial large subunit ribosomal RNA", at positions 1523 to 2589 of the family's 2925-position model. Lineage: Eukaryota; Metazoa; Chordata; Amphibia; Anura; Leptodactylidae. The record is from RNAcentral.